RNAcentral lists this transfer RNA (72 nucleotides) under Bos taurus (domestic cattle). It matches the Rfam family "tRNA". Rfam says of the family: Transfer RNA (tRNA) molecules are approximately 80 nucleotides in length. Their secondary structure includes four short double-helical elements and three loops (D, anti-codon, and T loops). Lineage: Eukaryota; Metazoa; Chordata; Mammalia; Artiodactyla; Bovidae. The record is from Rfam by way of RNAcentral. RNAcentral also lists the same sequence under 4 other names.
UCCUUUGUGGCUCAGCUGGUAAAGAAUCCACCUGCAAUGUGGAAGACCUGGGUUCAAUCCCUGGAUUGGGAA